CGUGCUAAUCUGCGAUAAGCGCCGGUAAGGUGAUAUGAACCGUUAUAACCGGCGAUACCCGAAUGGGGAAACCCAGUGUGAUUCGUCACACUAUCAUUAACUGAAUCCAUAGGUUAAUGAGGCGAACCGGGGGAACUGAAACAUCUAAGUACCCCGAGGAAAAGAAAUCAACCGAGAUUCCCCCAGUAGCGGCGAGCGAACGGGGAGGAGCCCAGAGCCUGAAUCAGCAUGUGUGUUAGUGGAAGCGUCUGGAAAGGCGCGCGAUACAGGGUGACAGCCCCGUACACAAAAGCGCAUGUGCUGUGAGCUCGAUGAGUAGGGCGGGACACGUGGUAUCCUGUCUGAAUAUGGGGGGACCAUCCUCCAAGGCUAAAUACUCCUGACUGACCGAUAGUGAACCAGUACCGUGAGGGAAAGGCGAAAAGAACCCCGGCGAGGGGAGUGAAAAAGAACCUGAAACCGUGUACGUACAAGCAGUGGGAGCACCCUUCGGGGUGUGACUGCGUACCUUUUGUAUAAUGGGUCAGCGACUUAUAUUCUGUAGCAAGGUUAACCGUAUAGGGGAGCCGGAGGGAAACCGAGUCUUAAUUGGGCGUUAAGUUGCAGGGUAUAGACCCGAAACCCGGUGAUCUAGCCAUGGGCAGGUUGAAGGUUGGGUAACACUAACUGGAGGACCGAACCGACUAAUGUUGAAAAAUUAGCGGAUGACCUGUGGCUGGGGGUGAAAGGCCAAUCAAACCGGGAGAUAGCUGGUUCUCCCCGAAAGCUAUUUAGGUAGCGCCUCGUGAAUUCAUCUCCGGGGGUAGAGCACUGUUUCGGCUAGGGGGCCAUCCCGGCUUACCAACCCGAUGCAAACUGCGAAUACCGGAGAAUGUUAUCACGGGAGACACACGGCGGGUGCUAACGUCCGUCGUGAAGAGGGAAACAACCCAGACCGCCAGCUAAGGUCCCAAAGUCAUGGUUAAGUGGGAAACGAUGUGGGAAGGCCCAGACAGCCAGGAUGUUGGCUUAGAAGCAGCCAUCAUUUAAAGAAAGCGUAAUAGCUCACUGGUCGAGUCGGCCUGCGCGGAAGAUGUAACGGGGCUAAACCAUGCACCGAAGCUGCGGCAGCGAACGUAUCACCCAAGACAACUUUACGGAGUUGACGAUUGACGGAGCGAAGCGACGUCAAAGCGUUCAUUAAAGUCGAGUUGGCUUAGGGAUACGUUCGUUGGGUAGGGGAGCGUUCUGUAAGCCUGUGAAGGUGUGUCGUGAGGCAUGCUGGAGGUAUCAGAAGUGCGAAUGCUGACAUAAGUAACGAUAAAGCGGGUGAAAAGCCCGCUCGCCGGAAGACCAAGGGUUCCUGUCCAACGUUAAUCGGGGCAGGGUGAGUCGACCCCUAAGGCGAGGCCGAAAGGCGUAGUCGAUGGGAAACGGGUUAAUAUUCCCGUACUUGGUGUUACUGCGAAGGGGGGACGGAGAAGGCUAUGUUGGCCGGGCGACGGUUGUCCCGGUUUAAGCGUGUAGGUGUGUGUUCCAGGUAAAUCCGGUUCACUUUAACACUGAGGCGUGACGACGAGGCACUACGGUGCUGAAGCAACAAAUGCCCUGCUUCCAGGAAAAGCCUCUAAGCAUCAGGUAACACGAAAUCGUACCCCAAACCGACACAGGUGGUCAGGUAGAGAAUACCAAGGCGCUUGAGAGAACUCGGGUGAAGGAACUAGGCAAAAUGGUGCCGUAACUUCGGGAGAAGGCACGCUGACACGUAGGUGAAGUGAUUUACUCAUGGAGCUGAAGUCAGUCGAAGAUACCAGCUGGCUGCAACUGUUUAUUAAAAACACAGCACUGUGCAAACACGAAAGUGGACGUAUACGGUGUGACGCCUGCCCGGUGCCGGAAGGUUAAUUGAUGGGGUCAGCGCAAGCGAAGCUCCUGAUCGAAGCCCCGGUAAACGGCGGCCGUAACUAUAACGGUCCUAAGGUAGCGAAAUUCCUUGUCGGGUAAGUUCCGACCUGCACGAAUGGCGUAAUGAUGGCCAGGCUGUCUCCACCCGAGACUCAGUGAAAUUGAACUCGCUGUGAAGAUGCAGUGUACCCGCGGCAAGACGGAAAGACCCCGUGAACCUUUACUAUAGCUUGACACUGAACAUUGAGCCUUGAUGUGUAGGAUAGGUGGGAGGCUUUGAAGUGUGGACGCCAGUCUGCAUGGAGCCGACCUUGAAAUACCACCCUUUAAUGUUUGAUGUUCUAACGUGGACCCGUAAUCCGGGUUGCGGACAGUGUCUGGUGGGUAGUUUGACUGGGGCGGUCUCCUCCUAAAGAGUAACGGAGGAGCACGAAGGUUGGCUAAUCCUGGUCGGACAUCAGGAGGUUAGUGCAAUGGCAUAAGCCAGCUUGACUGCGAGCGUGACGGCGCGAGCAGGUGCGAAAGCAGGUCAUAGUGAUCCGGUGGUUCUGAAUGGAAGGGCCAUCGCUCAACGGAUAAAAGGUACUCCGGGGAUAACAGGCUGAUACCGCCCAAGAGUUCAUAUCGACGGCGGUGUUUGGCACCUCGAUGUCGGCUCAUCACAUCCUGGGGCUGAAGUAGGUCCCAAGGGUAUGGCUGUUCGCCAUUUAAAGUGGUACGCGAGCUGGGUUUAGAACGUCGUGAGACAGUUCGGUCCCUAUCUGCCGUGGGCGCUGGAGAACUGAGGGGGGCUGCUCCUAGUACGAGAGGACCGGAGUGGACGCAUCACUGGUGUUCGGGUUGUCAUGCCAAUGGCACUGCCCGGUAGCUAAAUGCGGAAGAGAUAAGUGCUGAAAGCAUCUAAGCACGAAACUUGCCCCGAGAUGAGUUCUCCCUGAGACUUAGAGUCUCCUGAAGGAACGUUGAAGACGACGACGUUGAUAGGCCGGGUGUGUAAGCGCAGCGAUGCGUUGAGCUAACCGGUACUAAUGAACCGUGAGGCUUAACCUU
RNAcentral lists this ribosomal RNA (2934 nucleotides) under Salmonella enterica subsp. enterica serovar Typhimurium str. DT104. RNAcentral describes it as "bacterial LSU rRNA". It matches the Rfam family "Bacterial large subunit ribosomal RNA". Lineage: Bacteria; Pseudomonadati; Pseudomonadota; Gammaproteobacteria; Enterobacterales; Enterobacteriaceae. The record is from RNAcentral.